This 73-nucleotide transfer RNA is filed under the name Rhodospirillales bacterium 24-66-33. Its description in RNAcentral is "tRNA-Gly". RNAcentral also lists the same sequence under 2 other names. The record is from RNAcentral. Lineage: Bacteria; Pseudomonadati; Pseudomonadota; Alphaproteobacteria; Rhodospirillales.
CCGAGCGUAGGCAUCGACGUCCCGAACCUUGCCAAGGUCGGGGUCGAGGGUUCGAAUCCCUUCGCCCGCUCCA